AUUGAACGCUGGCGGCAUGCUUUAUACAUGCAAGUCGAACGAUAACAGCACUUCGGUGGCUGUCGAGCGGUGAACGGGGGAGGAUUACUUCGGAACGGGCCACCUAGUUGUGGGACACUACUCGCUUGAGUAACCAAUACCGCAUGACAUCUAAUAUUUAGAACCGGAGACUUCCAUGCUUUACGCUACUUUUGCUGUUGAUGGCAGAUUAGGUAGUUGGUGGGAUAAUAGCUUACCAAGUCGACGAUCUGUAGCUGGUCUGAGAGGAGGAGCAGCCACACUGGGACUGAGACACGGCCCAGACUCCUACGGGAGGCAGCAGUGGGGAAUUUUGGACAAUGGGCGCAAGCCUGAUCCAGCAAUGCCGCGUGCAGGAUGAAGGCCUUCGGGUUGUAAACUGCUUUUGUACGGAACGAAAAGCCGUCUUCUAAUACAGGAGGGUCAUGACGGUACCGAAAGAAUAAGCACCGGCUAACUACGUG
This 482-nucleotide ribosomal RNA is filed under the name uncultured bacterium. RNAcentral describes it as "partial 16S ribosomal RNA". It matches the Rfam family "Bacterial small subunit ribosomal RNA", at positions 30 to 507 of the family's 1533-position model. The record is from RNAcentral.